RNAcentral lists this unclassified non-coding RNA (265 nucleotides) under Curvularia lunata. RNAcentral describes it as "partial internal transcribed spacer region". The stretch from base 1 to 46 matches the Rfam family "Eukaryotic small subunit ribosomal RNA", at positions 1786 to 1831 of the family's 1831-position model. The record is from RNAcentral. Lineage: Eukaryota; Fungi; Ascomycota; Dothideomycetes; Pleosporales; Pleosporaceae.
AAGUCGUAACAAGGUCUCCGUAGGUGAACCUGCGGAGGGAUCAUUACACAAUAAAAUAUGAAGGCUGUACGCGGCUGUGCUCUCGGGCCAGUUUUGCAGAGGCUGAAUUAUUUAUUACCCUUGUCUUUUGCGCACUUGUUGUUUCCUGGGCGGGUUCGCCCGCCACCAGGACCACAUCAUAAACCUUUUUUAUGCAGUUGCAAUCAGCGUCAGUAUAACAAAUGUAAAUCAUUUACAACUUUCAACAACGGAUCUCUUGGUUCUG